This 127-nucleotide small RNA is filed under the name Staphylococcus aureus. RNAcentral's name for it is "Antisense". Lineage: Bacteria; Bacillati; Bacillota; Bacilli; Caryophanales; Staphylococcaceae. The record is from RNAcentral.
CGGCAAUACAAAUCAGUAACACACUAAAACCUAAUAUCGAAGCUGUAACACCGCCAAUUAAUGGUCCCACAAGAGACCCUGCGCUGACUGAACUUUGCAGUCUUCCUAAUACCUUUCCACGAUCUUC